This 68-nucleotide transfer RNA is filed under the name Glandirana tientaiensis (Tientai rough-skinned frog). RNAcentral's name for it is "Rugosa tientaiensis (Tientai rough-skinned frog) tRNA-His". It matches the Rfam family "tRNA". Rfam says of the family: Transfer RNA (tRNA) molecules are approximately 80 nucleotides in length. Their secondary structure includes four short double-helical elements and three loops (D, anti-codon, and T loops). Further hydrogen bonds mediate the characteristic L-shaped molecular structure. tRNAs have two regions of fundamental functional importance: the anti-codon, which is responsible for specific mRNA codon recognition, and the 3' end, to which the tRNAs corresponding amino acid is attached (by aminoacyl-tRNA synthetases). tRNAs cope with the degeneracy of the genetic code in two manners: having more than one tRNA (with a specific anti-codon) for a particular amino acid; and 'wobble' base-pairing, i.e. permitting non-standard base-pairing at the 3rd anti-codon position. Lineage: Eukaryota; Metazoa; Chordata; Amphibia; Anura; Ranidae. The record is from RNAcentral.
GUAAACAUAGUUUAAUAAAACCCUAGAUUGUGAUUCUAGAAAUAAAGAUUGAAACUCUUUUGUUUACC